This 235-nucleotide unclassified non-coding RNA is filed under the name Glomus sp. RNAcentral describes it as "partial contains 5.8S ribosomal RNA and internal transcribed spacer 2". The stretch from base 1 to 71 matches the Rfam family "5.8S ribosomal RNA", at positions 84 to 154 of the family's 154-position model. Lineage: Eukaryota; Fungi; Glomeromycota; Glomeromycetes; Glomerales; Glomeraceae. The record is from RNAcentral.
GUGAAUCAUCGAAUCUUUGAACGCAAAUUGCACUCUCUGGUAUUCCGGAGAGUAUGCCUGUUUGAGGGUCAGUUUAAAUAAAAUUCGUUUUGUUUCUUGCCUUCCGUGGUUCCGCACCGAUUUGGGUUCUCCUUGCCCUCGGUUAGGUGACCUAAAAUUUUGCAUGAUUUUUUUCGAACUUAUUUAAAUGAUUUAACUUACUUUUGAGAUAUCGAAUACAAGGGUUGGUCUUCUU